RNAcentral lists this ribosomal RNA (433 nucleotides) under uncultured bacterium. RNAcentral describes it as "partial 16S ribosomal RNA". It matches the Rfam family "Bacterial small subunit ribosomal RNA", at positions 29 to 507 of the family's 1533-position model. The record is from RNAcentral.
AACGAACGCUGGCGGCAUGCCUAACACAUGCAAGUCGAGCGAGACCUCCGGGACUAGUGUCGCACGGGUGCGUCACGCGUCGGAACCUGCCCUUAGGUUCGGCAUACCUCCCCGACAGGGGUGCUAAUACCGGAUCAUGUCUUCGGACCAAAGAUUUAUUGCCUUUGGAUGGGCCAGCGUUGGAUUAGCUAGUUGUGAGGGUAAUAGCCUACCAAGGCGACGAUCCAUAGCUGGGCUGAGAGGAUGAUCAGCGACACUGGGACUGAGACCCGGCCCAGACUCCUACGGGAGGCAGCAGUGGGGAAUAUUGGAAAAUGGCCGAAAGCCUGAUCCAGCAAGGACGCGAGAGUGAUGAAAGCCUUAGGGUUGUAAAGCGCUUUUACCCGGGAUGAUAAUGACAGUACCGGGAGAAUAAGCUCCGGCUAACUCCGUG